This 253-nucleotide ribosomal RNA is filed under the name uncultured bacterium. RNAcentral describes it as "partial 16S ribosomal RNA". It matches the Rfam family "Bacterial small subunit ribosomal RNA", at positions 524 to 776 of the family's 1533-position model. The record is from RNAcentral.
UACGUAGGGUGCGAGCGUUGUCCGGAAUUACUGGGCGUAAAGAGUUCGUAGGUGGUUUGUCGCGUUGUCCGUGAAAACUCACAGCUCAACUGUGGGCGUGCGGGCGAUACGGGCAGACUGGAGUACUGCAGGGGAGACUGGAAUUCCUGGUGUAGCGGUGGAAUGCGCAGAUAUCAGGAGGAACACCGGUGGCGAAGGCGGGUCUCUGGGCAGUAACUGACGCUGAGGAGCGAAAGCGUGGGGAGCGAACAGG